GAGAGAUGGCUGAGUGGCCGAAAGCGCCCGCCUGCUAAGUGGGUAUACGGCUUUAAACCGUAUCGAGGGUUCGAAUCCCUCUCUCUCC
This is a transfer RNA of 88 nucleotides. It matches the Rfam family "tRNA". Rfam says of the family: Transfer RNA (tRNA) molecules are approximately 80 nucleotides in length.